RNAcentral lists this ribosomal RNA (301 nucleotides) under uncultured bacterium. RNAcentral describes it as "partial 16S ribosomal RNA". It matches the Rfam family "Bacterial small subunit ribosomal RNA", at positions 509 to 809 of the family's 1533-position model. The record is from RNAcentral.
CAGUAGCCGCGGUAAUACAGAGGGUGCGAGCGUUAAUCGGAUUUACUGGGCGUAAAGCGUGCGUAGGCGGCUUCUUAAGUCGGAUGUGAAAUCCCUGAGCUUAACUUAGGAAUUGCAUUCGAUACUGGGAAGCUAGAGUAUGGGAGAGGAUGGUAGAAUUCCAGGUGUAGCGGUGAAAUGCGUAGAGAUCUGGAGGAAUACCGAUGGCGAAGGCAGCCAUCUGGCCUAAUACUGACGCUGAGGUACGAAAGCAUGGGGAGCAAACAGGAUUAGAUACCCCCGUAGUCCCUGUCUCUAAUAC